RNAcentral lists this ribosomal RNA (460 nucleotides) under uncultured bacterium. RNAcentral's name for it is "partial 16S ribosomal RNA". It matches the Rfam family "Bacterial small subunit ribosomal RNA", at positions 338 to 795 of the family's 1533-position model. The record is from RNAcentral.
CCUACGGGUGGCUGCAGUGAGGAAUAUUGGUCAAUGGGCGCGAGCCUGAACCAGCCAAGUCGCGUGAGGGAAGACGGCCCUACGGGUUGUAAACCUCUUUUGCCGGGGAGCAACGGGCGCCACGUGUGGCGCCACUGAGAGUACCCGGAGAAAAAGCAGCGGCUAACUCCGUACCAGCAGCCGCGGUAAUACGGAGGAUGCGAGCGUUAUCCGGAUGGAUUGGGUUUAAAGGGUGCGUAGGCGGAGCGUUAAGUCAGUGGUCAAAUUGAGGGGCUCAACCCCUUCCCUCCAUUGAAACUGGCGCUCUUGAGUGGACGAGCAGUAUGCGGAAUGCGUGGUGUAGCGGUGAAAUGCAUAGAUAUCACGCAGAACCCCGAUUGCGAAGGCAGCAUGCCGGCUUCCUACUGACGCUGACGCACGAACGCGUGGGGAUCGAACAGGAUUAGAUACCCUGGUAGUC